AUAAAUGCUUCGAAAAUUUAUAAUUAUUCUUCUGGGUUGAUGCAUUUUGAGUUCCUUUCUUUUGAGUUAUGAUAAAUAUGCAUGAUACGGUCUGCAGCUUAUCGCCUGUUCUUUUAGAGUGCAAUGUAUAAACAGACCUCUUAGACAUCUCUUAGCAUUGUUAUACAAAAAAUAGAUGCUCUUAGUAUAAUCUCUAUAACGUGCAUUGUUUGCAUCAACCAUUGAGGUUUGGUAUCCUGGAUAGAACUCCCAGUCUUGUAUAGUUGAUAUCUGUUAGUCUACUGUUUUGAAACCUUGGUGUCACAUGAUUAUGGCAUUCAUUG
Molecule: long non-coding RNA, 323 nt
Filed under: Linum usitatissimum (flax)
Lineage: Eukaryota; Viridiplantae; Streptophyta; Magnoliopsida; Malpighiales; Linaceae
Description: long non-coding RNA (LUSI_LNC001486)
Source: RNAcentral